RNAcentral lists this transfer RNA (71 nucleotides) under Heterocephalus glaber (naked mole-rat). It matches the Rfam family "tRNA". Rfam says of the family: Transfer RNA (tRNA) molecules are approximately 80 nucleotides in length. The record is from Rfam by way of RNAcentral. Lineage: Eukaryota; Metazoa; Chordata; Mammalia; Rodentia; Bathyergidae.
UGGGACGUAGCUCAGAGGUAGAGCACUUGCCUAGCAUGUGUGACACCCUGGGUUCCAUCCCAGCACCACAA